GGGGAAUAUUGGACAAUGGGCGCAAGCCUGAUCCAGCCAUGCCGCGUGGGUGAAGAAGGCCUUCGGGUUGUAAAGCCCUUUUGUUGGGAAAGAAAAGCAGCCGGCCAAUACCCGGUUGUUCUGACGGUACCCAAAGAAUAAGCACCGGCUAACUUCGUGCCAGCAGCCGCGGUAAUACGAAGGGUGCAAGCGUUACUCGGAAUUACUGGGCGUAAAGCGUGCGCAGGCGGUUUUGUAAGACAGUGGUGAAAUCCCCGGGCUCAACCUGGGAGCUGCCAUUGAGACUGCAUAUCUAGAGUGCAGGAGAGGAAAGCGGAAUUCCUAGUGUAGCGGUGAAAUGCGUAGAUAUUAGGAAGAACACCAGUGGCGAAGGCGGCUUUCUGGACUGUAACUGACGCUGAUGCAUGAAAGCGUGGGGAGCAAACA
RNAcentral lists this ribosomal RNA (426 nucleotides) under uncultured bacterium. RNAcentral describes it as "bacterial SSU rRNA". It matches the Rfam family "Bacterial small subunit ribosomal RNA", at positions 356 to 774 of the family's 1533-position model. The record is from RNAcentral.